CAGAGGGGGCAAGCGUUGUUCGGAAUUACUGGGCGUAAAGGGCGCGUAGGCGGCCUUCUAAGCCGAACGUGAAAUCCCCGGGCUCAACCCGGGAACUGCGUCCGAGACUGGAAGGCUUGAAUCCGGGAGAGGGAUGUGGAAUUCCAGGUGUAGCGGUGAAAUGCGUAGAUAUCUGGAGGAACAUCGGUGGCGAAGGCGGCAUCCUGGACCGGUAUUGACGCUGAGGCGCGAAAGCCAGGGGAGCAAACGGGAUUAGAUACCCCGGUAGUCCUGGCCCUAAACGAUGAAUGCUUGGUGUGGCGGGUAUCGAUCCCUGCCGUGCCGAAGCUAACGCAUUAAGCAUUCCGCCUGGGGAGUACGGUCGCAAGGCUG
Molecule: ribosomal RNA, 372 nt
Filed under: uncultured organism
Description: bacterial SSU rRNA
Rfam family: Bacterial small subunit ribosomal RNA
Source: RNAcentral